AAAGGGAGACCUAAUUCGGGUAGGAGACGAAAAAAAAGUAGUCCCUACCAAGAAUCAAUCCCAAAAGGUCGGAGCGAGGCGAAAUUGGCUUUCAAACUAGGUUCUGGGUUCACACAAGACCUGAAUCAGGAACAAGGGCUAUUAGCUCAGGUGGUUAGAGCGCACCCCUGAUAAGGGUGAGGUCCCUGGUUCGAGUCCAGGAUGGCCCACCUGCACAGGUGGCAAAAAGAAAGAAAAGAAGCGAGGAAUCAGCACCUUAUCUUACUUAUAUAGUAAGAGAGAAUGCUGGCUCUGAGUUCAGAGUCCAGAGGAACCUUGAAAACUGCAUAGAGCUAGGUGAAAAAACCAAAAAAGAAGACCGCAAG
Molecule: transfer RNA, 365 nt
Filed under: uncultured Microcystis sp.
Lineage: Bacteria; Bacillati; Cyanobacteriota; Cyanophyceae; Chroococcales; Microcystaceae
Description: partial 16S-23S ribosomal RNA intergenic spacer
Rfam family: tRNA (bases 136-209)
Source: RNAcentral